RNAcentral lists this ribosomal RNA (256 nucleotides) under uncultured bacterium. Its description in RNAcentral is "partial 16S ribosomal RNA". It matches the Rfam family "Bacterial small subunit ribosomal RNA", at positions 524 to 777 of the family's 1533-position model. The record is from RNAcentral.
UACGUAGGGGGCUAGCGUUGUCCGGAAUCAUUGGGCGUAAAGCGCGCGUAGGCGGCCCGGUAAGUCCGCUGUAAAAGUCCAGGGCUCAACCCUGGAAAGCCGGUGGAUACUGUCGGGCUCGAGUCCGGAAGAGGCGAGUGGAAUUCCUGGUGUAGCGGUGGAAUGCGCAGAGUAUCAGGAGGAACACCAAUGGCGAAGGCAGCUCGCUGGGACGGUACUGACGCUAAGGCGCGAAAAGCGUGGGGAGCAAACAGGG